UGGUGGAGUGAUUUGUCUGGUUAAUUCCGUUAACGAACGAGACCUCGACCUGCUAAAUAGUUCGGCGUACUCUCGGGUACGUACGCGACUUCUUAGAGGGACUGUCGGUUUUAGCCGAAGGAAGUUCGAGGCAAUAACA
This 139-nucleotide ribosomal RNA is filed under the name uncultured eukaryote. RNAcentral's name for it is "partial 18S ribosomal RNA". It matches the Rfam family "Eukaryotic small subunit ribosomal RNA", at positions 1299 to 1458 of the family's 1831-position model. The record is from RNAcentral.